This is a non-coding RNA of Salvelinus sp. IW2-2015, 4209 nucleotides long. NCBI's taxonomy places the organism in Eukaryota, Metazoa, Chordata, Actinopteri, Salmoniformes, Salmonidae. The record is from RefSeq and is a predicted model, not a curated record.
GCAUCUUUCUUUCAACACCAAACCCACCACUGGUAUGUGUGGCCGAAGAGCUCUAUUUUCAUGUCAUCUGACCACAGCGCCGGUUCCAAUCCAAUUGCCAAUGUUGUUAAGCAUACUCCAGGCGUUUACAUUUGUUGGAUGACGUGAAAAUAGAGGUAUUUGGCCACGAGAGUAUUGAAAACAGGGAUGCCCCUAUCUUUUUCAUGUUUGUUUUUUUACUUGAUAGACAAUCUCCUUCUCUGACCAAUUGUAUUAGUAUAAAAUUAAGAUAGUACAUGUAGUUCAGUAUUUGUAUUAUUAGUUUUAUAGUCUUUUUUGCUCAUCUUAAUCAAGGAUGCCAAUAAUUCUGGAGGUGACUGUAAAUAAUAAUUUGGAGUUUGAUUAAAUGCAAUGUGCUUUUUUGCACUUCUCUGGGGAUGAGAUUUAGACAGCGUUGUGUUGGGAGCAGAUUAUAUUGGGUGUUUCAUUGGGCAACCUGAACCCAGCUGCUUAGCCUAUUUCUGUAGUUCAUUGUAGUUUUUCCUUCCCAAUUGUUAUUAUUCUUUCCCAAUUGUAUUAUAACUUUCAGUCAAUUUUCGUCUCUAUUUAACUUCUGUUAAUUACAUGUAGAUAUUACUCCUAGUAUCAGGACGUACUCCUGCUAUGUGAACCUCUCAUGUAAACCCUUGGUUUGUGGUCAGGCUCAGGAAACGCUCCAGGGCACUAGCGUAUUUGGAAUGAGAGAGAUUUGUCCCACACUUGUUAUCCCCCUGUCAUUACUGAUGAGUGUUCUCUGUGCUUUUUGAUACUGGUUUGUUUGUGUUCUAAUCACUGGUGUAUGUAAAUACUAGAAUAUGGAAUAUUGGAAUAUGAAAAAUGUUGGAUUCUGAAGUGAGCAAACGACAGAUCUAACCAGAUUGACAUGUUGUUUUGUUCUGUGUUUAUGUAUUUUAUUAACAGGCUCUAAGUUUAACUGAAAAGCAUCCACCUAAUGUACAUAAAUGCCUAGAUCGCUCCUUAAGACUAACUUUGCCUGCAUAACUUAUAUUUUACUGUCUUGAAACAAAAAACGGAAAAAAGAGAAAGAAGCCUUGAAUGUAUUACUGUAUGCUUGCCCUUAAAAUAUCAGAAGAAAAUUAUACCUCAUAUGUCUUUUGGUGGUCAUGCAACCAGAUCUACUGGCAGCUUGGCAGGACCACACACACACACACACACACACACACACAGUAGUUAUCAUGGUCUGCCUGCCUUUUGGCAAAGCUGAAAAUCAAGUAAAGAUUUUGCAUUGAUUUAAAAUCAUAUCAAGCUUCUGUAUAUCCAUGUUCCCCCAAGAACCAUUAAAUGGCUAAAAAAGUGUUUGGUAAUAUUGCGCAGUAUUUCAAUGGCAUGCUACGAGCAGGUUAGAGAACAUCUUCCAGAGGUUUUCUAUUGAAUGCAUCUCUUACAUGCAUUAUUUGAUGUUAAUUACUUGCUAAUCUCACACAGUCACUCAUUAAGGGCUCUGCUCAUCCUUUAUUGUGUGAGCAGAGAAAAAAAUACAAGAUGUCAGCAUUUAGCUGACAACCUUGAGUGAAUCAUUACCGUGGCAACAAUGGACAGGGAUAUUUUGGAGAUGACCAGACAUUCAUCAUUGCCACCUCGUGCCAGUGUGAUUUAGAUGGACUGGUCUAAAUCACACUGGCACGUGAUCACCACUAACACUCAUCACCACCUCUAUGCCCCUGUACAUUGUCAAGACCACAGUACAUUAUCCAGGCGCCUGUCACCCCUUUGUUCUAUGCCUUCCUUCUUUUUCUAUCUCCUUUCCCUCUUUGCAAGUCUCAGUUAAUUCAGCCUGUGGUUUCUGUUGAAACCUGGAGGCAAAAGCUGAGCGGUUUCCACUAGAUGAGCCAUCCACAAAGUCAAAAUCGUCUAUAUCGUUAAAAAAAAAUCAUGAAAACAAAAGUGUGCUUUUUGGUCUUAAUUCAAUGUUAGGGUUAGGUAUAUGGUUAGCAGUGUGAUUAGGGUUAUGUUUAACAUCAGAUUUGUGGCUAGGCCAGCUAGUGACCACUCUGCAGAGCUGCCUCCAGGACAAGAUUCAUCCCAAURAAUGCCAACCUCCCAAUCCACAUACUUAAAGAGUAGUAGUUUUUUUGUUCAAAUGUAAAAAGCCACACCUUCAUGGACCCACACCCUUUCCCAAUGCAUUUACAGGCUCUUCUCGACCUUAUGGAAUUGAUUGUUUUCCACAGGACGCAGACACAAUGUGAGUGACUAACGGCCAGCAAUAGUACAGAUGCGGCCUGGUGAAUCUGCCUGCUCUCUCACUGCACGUCACAUCACCUCUACUUCCCCAUCUUCCCCCUUCAGUCUGUUCUCUGUCACCAGUCUGUCAAGCCUACUCCCGUCUGCUGACUCUCCUCCUGCUYAGUUCCUCUGUGUUGAAGUAAACACUCUGGGACAGCUGGAUGUCUGACCUUUACAGAAUACAAGUGAGAAGUGGGGAGGGAGAGACAUCAAGGUAACAGACCAGUAGGCUCUGUUGUGUUUCAGAUGAUGACAGCUUUUUGUGUUAGGACUCUGAAAAACAUGCACUGCACAGACUGGAAAACCAGAAUUUCUGUCCGAUUCCAUCGUCCAAGCACCUUCAAGUUCCACCAGGUCUUUUUUUUUUAGACAGAACAGACUGAUCUAAAAUGACAGAUCAGAUCUGUGUCUGACUCCCAGACAAGGGGCUUGUCCAGCUCUUCACCUGCUGCUCCUUCCAUUUGCUUGACAGAGAAAUCAUAUUGACUGAUACAAUGUCAACAAAGUUCAAUAAAGCAUCCGUAUACACACUGCAUGGUAUACUAGACUUCCGGCCUCCACAACUGUUUACAGAUUUCCUCGUUUCAUACGUAGUUUGACCUGUACUGUAGGACAUCAUCCUCCCUUCAACUGAUCAAUCGCUUAGUUUAUUUAUUCGUGAAAAGUAAAGGGAUAGUAAUGCUUUCAAAUUUAAUUCAUGUUUUAAUAUUUAUUUCAUGAAAAAAAACAUGUUCUCAUUGAUACAAGCUAUUUAACAUGAAUAUUGCACUUUAUUGUCUGUGGUUUUUUGUUGUUGUGUAGAUUAGCCUGUUAUGUUGAUUAUUCUAAGAAAGAAAUGGCUAGCUCUUACAUAAUUUUGCAGUAUCUUUUUUUGUUUUCCUGUUGUGUUAUUUSUUACAUUAUUUGCUUAGAACGUUUCUUGUAUUAUUACCUACAGCCGGACACACUAUAUAUACUGUAUUUACAUUCUGGUCUCUGACUGGUUCUAAUAUUUCUUCAUUUCUAUUUAUUUUCUGGAUUAUGUGUGUAUAGUUUAUUUUAUUUUUGCUAUGUAUUAGCUACUGAACUGUUGGAGCUAGAAACACAAACAUAUCGCUGCACCUGCGAUAGCAUCUUCAAAUCUGUAUACAUGACCAAUAAAAAUAGUUGAUAUGCGCAUGCGUAUUACCCCCCACGAAUGUUUUCAAACAACGUGCUUCUGGUAGUGAUCAUUCAGUCCAAGAUGGCGGACCUCUUAGGCUCAAUCUUAAAAUCAAUGGAAAAACCUCCAACAGUGGGCGACAAAGAGAGCCGACGAAGGGACCGAGAACAGGCAGCAAGAAUGAAGAAGAUGCAGCAGGAUGAGAAAGAAAAAGCAAGCAGAGUUCAGGCAAAGGAUGGAGAAAGAGGGGUCCGAAUUCAUUCAAGCCAGUAGACAACAGAAGAGGAAGUACAAUUCCAUGGGAAAGAUUGAAAGGAGCAUAUUGAGUUUGCUCCAUCAGACGAUGAGCUGGAGGCUUACCAGAAUGGAAUGAAGUGGGACCCCCAGAAAGCUGUUUACAGGCGCAGACUUGAAGUAAGACUGGAGACAAACGCAGUCGCUCACAUUCACUGAGGAACAAAACCGAAGAGCAGCACAGGCCACUAUGCUUCCCACAAUUGAGUCUUGCUCCACCUUAGAUAUACUCACUCUAACAGUACUCUUUUGAGGUUGGGUUCAGAGCUGUUGCUUGAAGAAAGUUUUUGAUGAUGGAACCUGUCCACUGCUCUUCAGGAACAAGCUGCGUUGGAAGAGGAGACGGCCAAAAAGACACGGAAGAGGGCUGCUUUCUCCCUGCUCCAAUUACCGUGACAAGUACAGCCAUCUGAUCGGCACCUCUGCUGCUAAGGAUGUAGCACAUACAGUCUUAUACUCAGCUGGACCCUCCCCGGAUUUUGUGUUAAAUGCUCUACAACAAAGCUUUC